UGGUACGCGUAUCAAGUAGUGAAUUUAAGCUGAUCAGCCAAUGAUUAAACACAUUCACUAGUUAUUUACUAUUUGAUACGCGUACCAAGUGCUCGGUGUAAAUUAGGCUAUAGAGAAGGUAUAAAGUGCUCUGUGUAAACCAGGGCAUAUAAUCUCUUAUGUAUUUUUCGUGAUCAGCGUUUGUGGCGCCGCCGCUGCAAGCGAACCAGCCGAACCGAACUAAAAUGCAAUAUGGCCGUUUAAAAUCAACAUGACAGUAGUAAUGAGUUUCGUUCAACAAGCAAAGUAAAGUGAAGCAAAGCUUACGAGCGAAGAAGGAGGUUAUUUCUUACGAACGGAAUAAUUUGAAACUGAUGACACCAGUAGCUGUUCCAAUUUGUACACCAGCCUUCGACACCAUAUAGAAUAAAGAUGCUGUCAGAGGAGUUAGAUGAGGGAGCUACAAUUAUAACCAAGAAAAAGCAAUCUGUGAUCACAUUACUUAGCUUCGACAAACGAUGACCUAAGUUCAACUGAUUGUAGGCUCUUUCUUACGUCCACGUGGAAUCAGCUGCUUCUUCGCAACUUGCAACAGGUUAAGGCUGCGUUCCGAUAUUAAUUGUCAGUACUGAAAAUUUACAGUAUAUGUGACGUAAACUAUAGAUUUUCAGUACUGGCAGUGAAUAUCGGAACGCAGCCUAAGUUACGAAGAAGCAGCUGAUUCCACAUGAACGUAAGAAAGAGGCUACAAUCAGUUGAACUUUGGUCAUAAUGGUCAUCGUUUGUCGAAGCUAAUGGGUGUCAAGACAAAUCACUUGAAUGCAAACUACUUUCCAGUAUGUUGUAGCGUAAGAAAGCAAGAAAAUUGUAUUGGAGGAGAAACAACGUGAUUUAGAGAAUAAGGUGCUCUGUCACAUAGAAUGUAAUUCUAUUAUAAAAACAUGUAAUGGUUCCAUAAAAUAAAUAAAUUAAAAAAAUUUAUUAAAUAUUAA
Molecule: long non-coding RNA, 971 nt
Organism: Monomorium pharaonis (pharaoh ant)
Lineage: Eukaryota; Metazoa; Arthropoda; Insecta; Hymenoptera; Formicidae
Exons: 2
Source: RefSeq, a predicted model, not a curated record